RNAcentral lists this ribosomal RNA (591 nucleotides) under Polypedilum prasiogaster. RNAcentral's name for it is "eukaryotic LSU rRNA". It matches the Rfam family "Eukaryotic large subunit ribosomal RNA", at positions 451 to 900 of the family's 3401-position model. The record is from RNAcentral. Lineage: Eukaryota; Metazoa; Arthropoda; Insecta; Diptera; Chironomidae.
UUCAAUAUUACCCUUAACCAGUAAUGUGCACUUUUCUCUUAGUAAGACGCCGUGAUCCAUUAGAAAUUGGUGCACGCCAAGUGCACAGUGGGUCAUCAAUAGGUCGGYGCGAAGUUUAUUGGAACAAAUGGCGUGAUCUUUCACGGUCGCGUGUAUUGCCUGGUAAGCGCGUCGAUACCUGCAAUGACUGUCUGAUGGAUUUUAAAGAUCGUCACCAAUGAUGUCGUAAGGCAUCAACGCGUUCGCGCGUGCUCGGUGCGUAUCUGAUCAACGGCGGUACCUUUUGGGAUACCUUUUGGACCCGUCUUGAAACACGGACCAAGGAGUCUAUCUAGUAUGCGAGUAAAUGGAUAGUUAUUGAAAUCUAUUUGCGCAAUAAACGUGACUGUUUCAAUGGGAUUACGAUUAGACGACCAGCGAUBGUCGCUUUUCUUCCUUCCCGGGGUAUUUUCAUCCACACAUGCGCAAGCAUGUGGAAAAUAUACCAUGAGCACACUGGAUACGACCCGAAAGAUGGUGAACUAUGCCUGAUCAGGUCGAAGUCAGGGGAAACCCUGAUGGAGGACCGAAGCAGUUCUGACGUGCAAAUCG